GUUAAAAUGGAUUUGGGCCCUGUUUUGCAGUUUAAGUGUGACAAAAUGGGUUCAUCUGAACUGGGGCGAUGAUGGACUGAUUACUUUAUUUGCAAAGAUUUGGAGACUUCUUCGCCCGGAAAUAGGAGUGGUAUAUUAUGCAACUUGUUAGGAUCGGAGAGCUCCCAAGAGGGAAGGUGUGUGUGAAACUGUGAAUUGGAAUACUAAAAUGGAAAGGAUAAAAACUGAGUUAAAAAAAUUUUCUACAGAGAUAUUGCGGAAGCUAAGAUGAUUUUGAAUUUACACCCACACUCAAGAAGAAGGAAAGUGAAAGAACAAGCACAAGAGACUCAAGGAUUUUAGAGUGGUUGGGAACCUUCCUUAUGUACACUACACAUGCACUUGGACUUUUCACUACUCUCAAUUGCUUUCCUAGGUAGUAAUGAAACCCUUACAACUUGUAGAUUUUCCACGGAUCACUACAAACCAAAAGUGUUUUCCAAGGAUCACACCAAUACUAAUAACAAUGUCACUAUGCUCAGUUUUUUGGGAA
Molecule: long non-coding RNA, 532 nt
Organism: Macadamia integrifolia
Lineage: Eukaryota; Viridiplantae; Streptophyta; Magnoliopsida; Proteales; Proteaceae
Exons: 2
Source: RefSeq, a predicted model, not a curated record